This 476-nucleotide ribosomal RNA is filed under the name uncultured bacterium. Its description in RNAcentral is "partial 16S ribosomal RNA". It matches the Rfam family "Bacterial small subunit ribosomal RNA", at positions 28 to 506 of the family's 1533-position model. The record is from RNAcentral.
GAUUAACGCUGGCGGCGUGCAUAACACAUGCAAGUCGAACGAUGAAACUUAAAUGAUUUCUUCGGAAUGAACUUAAGUGGAUUAGUGGCGGACGGGUGAGUAACGCGUGAGUAACCUGCCUUACACAAGGGGAUAGCCGUUGGAAACGACGAAUAAUACCCUAUGAAACUAUCACUUCGCAUGAAGCGAUAGUCAAAGUGUUAGCGGUGUAAGAUGGACUUGCGUCUGAUUAGCUAGUUGGUGAGAAAAAAGCCCACCAAGGCAACGAUCAGUAGCCGGCUUGAGAGAGUGUACGGCCACAUUGGGACUGGGACACGGCCCAGACUCCUACGGGAGGCAGCAGUGGGGAAUUUUGCACAAUGGGGGAAACCCUGAUGCAGCGACGCCGCGUGAUGUAGAAGGCCUUCGGGUUGUAAAAAUCUUUUGUAUAGGAGGAAAAUGACAGUACUAUACGAAUAAGGUCCGGCUAAUUACGU